GCUGGGCAUGGUGGUGCAUGCCUGUAAUCCCAGCUACCUGGGAGGCUGAGUCAGGAGAAUCGCUUGAACCCAGGAGGUAGAGGUUGCAGUGAGCCAAGAUCGUGCCACUGCACUCUAGCCUGGGUGACAGAGUAAGACUCUGUCUCAA
Nomascus leucogenys (northern white-cheeked gibbon) is the source of this 148-nucleotide non-coding RNA. It matches the Rfam family "Metazoan signal recognition particle RNA". Rfam says of the family: The signal recognition particle (SRP) is a universally conserved ribonucleoprotein. It is involved in the co-translational targeting of proteins to membranes. Lineage: Eukaryota; Metazoa; Chordata; Mammalia; Primates; Hylobatidae. The record is from Rfam.